Molecule: ribosomal RNA, 253 nt
Filed under: uncultured bacterium
Lineage: Bacteria
Description: partial 16S ribosomal RNA
Rfam family: Bacterial small subunit ribosomal RNA
Source: RNAcentral
AACGUAGGUUCCGAGCGUUAUCCGGAUUUACUGGGCGUAAAGCGCGUUCAGGCGGUUCGGCAAGUCGGGCAUGAAAUCUCUCGGCUCAACCGGGAGAGGUUGUCCGAUACUGUUGGACUUGAGGGCAGUAGAGGGUGGUGGAAUUCCGGGUGUAGUGGUGAAAUGCGCAGAUAUCAGGAAGAACACCUAUGGCGAAGGCAGCACUCUGGGACGGUACUGACGCUGAGACGCGAAAGCGUGGGGAGCGAACAGG